This 460-nucleotide ribosomal RNA is filed under the name uncultured bacterium. RNAcentral describes it as "partial 16S ribosomal RNA". It matches the Rfam family "Bacterial small subunit ribosomal RNA", at positions 338 to 795 of the family's 1533-position model. The record is from RNAcentral.
CCUACGGGAGGCAGCAGUGAGGAAUAUUGGUCAAUGGGCGCAAGCCUGAACCAGCCAAGCCGCGUGAAGGAUGACUGCGCUACGGAUUGUAAACUUCUUUUGUCAAGGAAUAAAGUGAGGCACGUGUGCCUGUUUGUAUGUACUUGAUGAAUAAGGAUCGGCUAACUCCGUGCCAGCAGCCGCGGUAAUACGGAGGAUCCGAGCGUUAUCCGGAUUUAUUGGGUUUAAAGGGAGCGUAGAUGGGUUGUUAAGUCAGUUGUGAAAGUGUGGGGCUCAACCGUAAAAUUGCAUUUGAUACUGGCAGGCUUGAGUACAGGUGAGGUAGGCGGAAUGCGUGGUGUAGCGGUGAAAUGCUUAGAUAUCACGAAGAACUCCGAUUGCGAAGGCAGCGUACUAAACUGCCACUGACAUGGAGGCUCGAAAGUGUGGGUAUCAAACAGGAUUAGAUACCCCAGUAGUC